UACGGGGGGGCAAGCGUUGUUCGGAAUUACUGGGCGUAAAGGGCUCGUAGGUGGCCAACUAAGUCAUACGUGAAAUCCCUCGGCUUAACCGGGGAACUGCGCCUGAUACUGGUUGGCUUGAGUUUGGGAGAGGGACGCGGAAUUCCAGGUGUAGCGGUGAAAUGCGUAGAUAUCUGGAGGAACACCGGUGGCGAAGGCGGCGUCCUGGACCAAUACUGACACUGAGGAGCGAAAGCCAGGGGAGCAAACGGG
This 252-nucleotide ribosomal RNA is filed under the name uncultured bacterium. Its description in RNAcentral is "partial 16S ribosomal RNA". It matches the Rfam family "Bacterial small subunit ribosomal RNA", at positions 524 to 776 of the family's 1533-position model. The record is from RNAcentral.